UGGGGAAUAUUGGACAAUGGGGGCAACCCUGAUCCAGCCAUGCCGCGUGAGUGAUGAAGGCCUUCGGGUUGUAAAGCUCUUUUGGCGGGGACGAUGAUGACGGUACCCGCAGAAUAAGCCCCGGCUAACUUCGUGCCAGCAGCCGCGGUAAGACGAAGGGGGCAAGCGUUGUUCGGAAUUACUGGGCGUAAAGGGCGCGUAGGCGGUUUGCUUAGUCAGGCGUGAAAGCACUGGGCUUAACCUGGGAUGUGCGCUUGAUACUGGCAGGCGUGAGUGUGGGAGAGGUUGGUGGAAUUCCCAGUGUAGAGGUGAAAUUCGUAGAUAUUGGGAAGAACACCGGUGGCGAAGGCGGCCAACUGGACCACAACUGACGCUGAGGCGCGAAAGCGUGGGGAGCAAACA
Molecule: ribosomal RNA, 402 nt
Filed under: uncultured bacterium
Lineage: Bacteria
Description: bacterial SSU rRNA
Rfam family: Bacterial small subunit ribosomal RNA
Source: RNAcentral